This 411-nucleotide transfer-messenger RNA is filed under the name Candidatus Omnitrophota. RNAcentral describes it as "VGKK01 sp016867095 Standard tmRNA". It matches the Rfam family "transfer-messenger RNA". Rfam says of the family: Bacterial tmRNA, also known as 10Sa RNA or SsrA, is named for its dual tRNA and mRNA-like properties. Its role is to liberate the mRNA from a stalled ribosome. The record is from RNAcentral. RNAcentral also lists the same sequence under 1 other name. Lineage: Bacteria; Pseudomonadati.
GGGGGUGAAAGGGCUCGACUUAGGCCAGUUGGGUAAAAGUAGCAUGUCGCGGACGCAAGGUUUGCCGCGCUAACAAUCCUUGCACAUAUAAACGCAAACACACCAGUGUUUAACCGUGUAGCUGUUGCAGCAUCGCCUUUUGUUGCUGCGCCAGUGUUCACGGGCGUACUAGUCCCAGUUAAUUAAUUAGCUGGGCCUCUCUUUAGGCUGCCUGUGGCUUAAAAGAGAGCCGUUAGCAGGCUGGUCUUGGCAAAUUAGCCUUUGGGGCCGGGGCGAGAAUUAAAAAGGCUGCGGCCGGGAAAAUUCUGUUUGCCGAAGUUUCCCGGAGUAAGCACAAAAGACAGACUAAACAUGUAGCGACUUUUAUCUGAUUGCUUAGGGACCGGGGUUCAACUCCCCGCACCUCCACUU